RNAcentral lists this microRNA (19 nucleotides) under Carica papaya (papaya). Its description in RNAcentral is "cpa-miR8135". The record is from miRBase by way of RNAcentral. Lineage: Eukaryota; Viridiplantae; Streptophyta; Magnoliopsida; Brassicales; Caricaceae.
AGGAUUUUGCAGGGUUGAU